Molecule: ribosomal RNA, 177 nt
Filed under: uncultured Gammaproteobacteria bacterium
Lineage: Bacteria; Pseudomonadati; Pseudomonadota; Gammaproteobacteria
Description: partial 16S ribosomal RNA
Rfam family: Bacterial small subunit ribosomal RNA
Source: RNAcentral
ACUCCUACGGGAGGCAGCAGUGGGGAAUAUUGCACAAUGGGCGCAAGCCUGAUCCAGCCAUGCCGCGUGUGUGAAGAAGGCUUUCGGGUUGUAAAGCACUUUCAGCAGUGAGGAAAGGUUAGUAGUUAAUACCUGCUAGCUGUGACGUUACCUGNAGAAUAAGCACCGGCUAACUCC